Molecule: long non-coding RNA, 3110 nt
Organism: Equus caballus (horse)
Lineage: Eukaryota; Metazoa; Chordata; Mammalia; Perissodactyla; Equidae
Source: Ensembl
GGAGCCUGGAGGGGUGGGAGGAAGGGGCAGUCAGAGGCCAGGUUCUGAGGUCUUGCCUCUUACUAGAAGCUCAGAUUCUCAGAGGCGGUGGAACAGCGGCAGGUGGCACAGCGGGGUGGCUUUGGAGGCUGGGCCCACCCUUCUCAGGGGUGAGACUGGGAUGCUGGAAGCUCUUCUGGGAGUCUCCCCGGAGUAACAAGGCACAGUGGGGGCUGGCUUCGAACUAGCUUAGGAAUGUUUCCAGACCAAAGGACCAAGUUAGUGACCUCCCCAACUUCAUAUUUACUGUGCUUCUGGUGGAGGGGCCUCCGGGAUUCUUGUUGUGCCUGGCAGUGACCCUCCCACCAUGACCCUGUGCCUGGGAGAGAGCCCCACUAUGGCCUGUGCCUGGGAGCAACUCUGGAACACUGAGGGAUCAGCUCUGCAGAAGCGGAAUCAUCCUCAGCCACAUUCUGCGAUUCUGGGAGCAUCAGGGGGGCCUUUUGUUGGGAAGGUUGUUUUGCUUUUGGUCCUUCCUGCCAUUGGCUACAAUGGCGACUCAUGAGUAAGCUGAGAACGGUUAAAAGAAACAAAGACUGGUCCAGUGGCUUUUGCACACCUCCACUCCCCCGACAGACAGUGUCUCUCAAAAGCUUUUCUAAGGACCGCUGAGCGCCCACAUCAGCAUUAGUGAGCAGACCGAGCCAAAAAUGCAGAUCUCAGUCCCAGCCUAGGCCUGGACCAGAAUCUCUAGGGAGAGGGUCUGUAAAUUCGCACUUGAACAGGUUUCCCGUGGCAUUCAGAUGUACAUUUAUGCAGGGAUCCUCAAACUUGCCGCUCAGCAGAACCACCUGGAGAGUUUCUAACAACCCGACACCAGGCUGGGCCUGUGCCAGUGACUGUCAGGGUGGAACCAGGCCUCGGGACUUUUGAAAUGCCCCAGGCGAUUCCCAGGUGCAGCCAAGGUUGAGAUCAGUGCUCUGCCUUCAGUGCUUCUCAAAUUUAUGUGCAUGCAGAUCACCUGCAGGUCCGGAUAAAAUGCAGACUCCUGCUCAGUAAGUCUGGGUGGGGCCCAAGAGUCAUUCCUGUUAUGGAGCUCCCAGGCCUGCUGCUUCUGGGGUUUGCAGACCCCACGUGGAGCAUCAGGGCCCUCACCGGCUGACCCACUGCUUCAGACAGCAAGCUGUUCAAAGACAACUCCAUGCUGGGAGCUGAUUAUGAUACCACAGUCUCUAGGAUGAAGCUCACAAAAGGCCAUUAGGAUCGAUGUCUUAGAAGAGCAUCUCCAAUCCGUGCCCUCCUCUGUGCAGGCUGUUUUCUUUGGAAGGAAGUCGCAAUGAGCAGCCCUCUCUUAAGGAAUAGAGGGGUAUACAGAGGAGAAAAUGAUAUGAUGACAGAGCAAAGAGAGAUUUGCAGAUGCUGGCCUCGAAGAUUAUAGAAAAGUGACCACAAGCCAAGGGUUACUGGCAGCCACCAAAAGCUGGAUCAGGCUGUCUUCUAGAGACUCUGGACAGAGGGUGGCCCUACGACACCUUGAUUCCAGCCCAGUGAUAUUGAUUGCGGACUUCUGGCUUCCAGAACUGUAAGAGAACACAUUUUUGUUUCUCCAAGCCACCCAGUUUGUAUAAUUUGUUGCAACAGCCACUGGAAACUAUUAAUCAUUUAUUUACAUUGAUAUGAACACAUGAAUAUUUUAUUUGUAUUAUGGGUUAUAAUCCAAUGUUACUUGUUUUAUUGCUUAAAUCAUUCAAGUUUUGGAUAUUGGGAUCUCUUCCAUUUGGCUUCUGGGCCUCUUUGGCGUACCCCGUUGUCUUAGUCCAUUCGAGACGCUAUAACAAAACUACUGUGGACUGGGCGACUUACACAGCAAGCAUUUCUUUCUGACAGUUCUGGAGGCUGGAAGUCCAAGACCAAGGUGUGGGCGGCUUUGGUGUCUGAUGAGGGUCUGCUUCCAAUGCAUCGAAGGUCGUUGUCUCACUGUAUCUUCACAUGAUGGAAAGAGCGUGAGACAACUCCCUGGGGUCUCUUUUAUAGGGCACCGAUCCCAUUUGUGACAGCUCCAUCCUUACGCCCUAAUCACUUCCCAAAACCUCUACCUCCUAAGACCAUCAAACUGAGGGUAGUAUUUCAAUAUGUGAAUUUUGGGGGGACACAAACAUUCAGUGUAUAACAUCCAUCAAUGUGGAUUUUGUUGAGCACUUCCUUCCUUUGGGGGACUGCAAGAUGCUUCAGGUUGAUCUCGUGCAUAUCCUCUUCCAUAGAAUCAUCCAUUUCUCCAAGGAGCCCUGGUUCCUUUUAAUGGUUUAUGAUAUUGGAAAUAAAGACUCAGGGGCUAGGUGUCCUUAUUGCUCCUAGAGUGUCAUUUCUUUUAGCCCCUCCAGCUGACAGAGCAAGGAAAAUAUGUAUGUGUAGUAACCUAUGUGUAUACACAUUUCCACUAAUACUUCUGUAUGUAAACGUAUGUAUCUAUAUUAGACUAAACAUGUGUUCUUACUGAUGUGAAACGCUGAUCCAUUACUUCACAAAUCAUUCUCCCUCCUCCCCUUCUUACCUGAAAAUUCCCUCUCUCACAGGGAGAAGCCAAGUUCCCACCUUUAUCAUUUGUUUGCUUAAUCAUUCAGUUCCGCUAUACAGGUGUAGCAUUAUCUGAACUGUUCAUGAGCAUCCUUGUGGGACACAACUCUAUCAAGUAGAGCACAGUGCUUAUGUGCAAGGUCUUUGCCUACAGUCUUACAGAAUCCAUUCGUUCCCAAAGUUGCUUAUGACAGCACAUCCACACCCGCCUUCAGUGAGGUUGUUUCCUAUAUUUGUAAUGCAAAUAGAUUCUCUUGUCACAGUCUGGAUUCCUUCCUAGGCUCUCUAAGACUUGUUUUUAAUUUGCACACAUUAAGGACCACUCUUUGUGCUCUAAAAUUCUAUGCUGCAAAUGCGUCUAUUAUAGUAUCAUGUGGAAUACUUUGACACCCUAAAAACCCCCUGUGUUUCAUUUAUUCAAUCUUCUCCCCUUCCCAAUACCCUAGCAACCACUGACUUUUUUUCUAUCUCUACAGUUUUGUCUUUUCCAGAACAUCAUAUAAUUGGGAUCAUACAGUAUGGAGUCUUUUCUUACUGACUUCUUUCACUUCGCAAUA